Molecule: ribosomal RNA, 694 nt
Filed under: uncultured bacterium
Lineage: Bacteria
Description: bacterial SSU rRNA
Rfam family: Bacterial small subunit ribosomal RNA
Source: RNAcentral
AGCGGGGGAUAACAUUCCGAAAGGAGUGCUAAUACCGCAUAAGACCACGGCCUCGAAAGAGGCUGAGGUAAAAGCUGGCCUCUAUACAUAAGCUAGCACUUGAGGAUGGGCCCGCGGCGCAUCAGGUAGUUGGUGAGGUAAUGGCUCACCAAGCCGAAGACGGGUAGCUGGUCUGAGAGGAUGAUCAGCCACACUGGUACUGGAACACGGACCAGACUCCUACGGGAGGCAGCAGUGGGGAAUCUUGGUCAAUGGGCGCAAGCCUGAACCAGCGACGCCGCGUGAGUGAUGAAGGCCUUCGGGUUGUAAAGCUCUGUGGGGCGAGACGAAAGCGUCGGUUCUAACAGGACCGGCUUUGACGGUAUCGCCUUAGCAAGCACCGGCUAACUCUGUGCCAGCAGCCGCGGUAAGACAGAGGGUGCAAACGUUGCUCGGAAUCACUGGGCGUAAAGGGCGUGUAGGCGGGAAGCUAAGUCAGGUGUGAAAUCCCCAGGCUCAACCUGGGAACUGCACUUGAAACUGUCUUUCUUGAGUGUCGGAGAGGAAAGUGGAAUUCCUGGUGUAGAGGUGAAAUUCGUAGAUAUCAGAGGAACACGGUGGCGAAGCGGCUUUCUGGACGACAACUGACGCUGAGACGCGAAAGCGUGGGGAGCAACAGAUAGAUACCCUGGUAGUCCACGCUGUAACGAUGAAC